This 1139-nucleotide long non-coding RNA is filed under the name Homo sapiens (human). RNAcentral describes it as "HSALNT0001266". The record is from RNAcentral. Lineage: Eukaryota; Metazoa; Chordata; Mammalia; Primates; Hominidae.
AAACCACGCCAUUGCACUCCAGCCUGGGCAACAAGAGCGAAACUCCUUCAAAAAAAAAAAAAAUUGUAAAUUGGUAGUGGAGAAACCUGGCAGAGAACCCCUCAACUGAGUGAUCCAACGCAGCAUCAGUGUAAUUAGAGUGACAUUACUGUACUCUCUCCAAUACGAUGGACUCUGAGAAGAGCAUAAUAUCACAUCUGGUAUUCUCAUAAAAUAUGCAUAACCUCAAUCCCAUUAUGAGGAAUCUUUAGACAAAACCAAAUCAGGGGAUGUUCAACAAAAGAGAUGGCCAGUACACUUCAAAAGCUUUAAUGUUAUGGGAGAGAAAGGCUGAGAAUGAUCACAUCAGAGGAGACUAAGGAGAUACAAUGGCUGAAUGCAGUGUGGGCUCCUGGAUGGAAUCCUGCAUCAGAAAAGGACACAAGUGUGAAAAUUGAUGAAAUUCAAAUUCAGGAAAGGUGAACUCACAGGAAAAGGAGACUAAAGUUCUGAUAGAGGAACUUUUACCAUAGGCUACCAGCCAUUCUUUCCAGGGAUGAUGUGUGCAAGACUCAUCUGCAUAACAAGACAGCCUUUGCUCACCCAUGCCUUUCCUCCUGGCGGCCCCCGUGACGUGUCACCACCUCCCACCUGGAGCUCCAGGCAUCUAGUCCUCUCUGUAGGGUAUAAAAACUGCAGUCAUCUGGCCCUUCUUUGAGUCUCAUAUUUGUGUGGCUCCCUGUGCAUGUGCACAGAAUAAAUGUGUGUGCCUUUGUCCUGUUAGCCCUCUAUUGAGAGUUCGUUUUGUAGACUCAAAUGAGCAAACCUUCAAAAAUGGGGAAAGGAAAUUCCCUUUGCUCCUACACCCUUCUCUUGGUUUCAAGAGAGCCAUGAAUAGCUUCACCAGGGAACUGUCAGUUCUCUUAGGAAACCACCCAGAUUCCAGCUACAACCUUGUAGGAUCAGAGUAAACCAGCCUUCAGAAGAAUGCAUGCCUCGGCCGGGCGCGGUGGCUCAUGUCUGCAAUCCUAGCACUUUAGGAGGCCGAGGAGGCGGAUCACCUGAGGUCAGGAGAUCAAGACCAGCCUGGCCAACAUGGCAAAACCCUGUCUCUACUAAAAAUACAAAAAAUUUAGCCAAUACAAAAAAAAUUAGCCGAG